AAUUCAUUUGAAAGAAAAUCGUUUAUUUCAUCGAUUACUUCAGAAAUGUAAGGUAAAUUCAGUAGAAAUCUACCGUUGACCUCUACAUCGCAAACAUUUUACUUUAGUACAAGGUUUACCUUUACAAGGUAAAAGCUUUUAUACAACAUUCAUUAAAGUACAAUUGUUCUCCCCAUCUUUUGCUACAAUUAAAACAUAGGGUCCUGCAGCAUUCUAUGACCAUUCACCUGGCUUCGUUUACAAACACUAAUUCACAAUAAAUGCAUGCGUUGAACCCAAUUAUGUUUCAACCCUGUUGUAGAAAAAUAUGUGCAAUGAGCAUUCUUUUUUAUGAUUUCUAUAACAUAAGUUCAGAAACAUAUAUUUUACAAACAUUAUCUACCAAUCAGGGGAGCGGCAGCACACUAGUGUUAUCAAGAAAUCUCUCCCUCAAAUGCGCGGUUCUUGGUGACACACAGAAACCCCUAUGAUGUUUUUGAAUUAUCGUCCUUCCGUAAUCUAAUUCGGCCGACAGUUUUCCAUAUGCAGUGACCUUACCAUGACCUUUCACGAUAAAAGUUAGAAAUAAUGCAAGGCGCAAGUUUGUAGCCAAAACUAUGUUGGAAUAAAAGAUAAAAAAAAAUAAAAAAAUAAUUAAAAUGAUAAAAACAGGGGGAAAAACCAUGCAAUAAAUCUUUUAUUUGCUAUUACAACGAAGUUGUACAUUGUAUUUGCAUAUGAAAUCACAUUGAAAAUAGAUAUUUAUAAAAAAAAAAAUGACAAAGAAAAAUCGCUCAAUCAUCUCAAGUAAUG
This 792-nucleotide long non-coding RNA is filed under the name Mytilus galloprovincialis (Mediterranean mussel). The record is from RNAcentral. Lineage: Eukaryota; Metazoa; Mollusca; Bivalvia; Mytilida; Mytilidae.